AGGGGUAUAGCUCAAUUGGCAGAGCGCUGGUCUCCAAAACCAGAGGUUGUAGGUUCGAUUCCUACUGCCCCUGCCA
Molecule: transfer RNA, 76 nt
Filed under: Rhizobacter gummiphilus
Lineage: Bacteria; Pseudomonadati; Pseudomonadota; Betaproteobacteria; Burkholderiales; Sphaerotilaceae
Also listed under: 9 other names
Description: tRNA-Trp
Rfam family: tRNA
About the family: Transfer RNA (tRNA) molecules are approximately 80 nucleotides in length. Their secondary structure includes four short double-helical elements and three loops (D, anti-codon, and T loops).
Source: RNAcentral